AGUCGAGCGGAAACGAGUUAACUGAACCUUCGGGGGACGUUAACGGCGUCGAGCGGCGGACGGGUGAGUAAUGCCUGGGAAAUUGCCCUGAUGUGGGGGAUAACCAUUGGAAACGAUGGCUAAUACCGCAUAAUAGCUUCGGCUCAAAGAGGGGGACCUUCGGGCCUCUCGCGUCAGGAUAUGCCCAGGUGGGAUUAGCUAGUUGGUGAGGUAAUGGCUCACCAAGGCGACGAUCCCUAGCUGGUCUGAGAGGAUGAUCAGCCACACUGGAACUGAGACACGGUCCAGACUCCUACGGGAGGCAGCAGUGGGGAAUAUUGCACAAUGGGCGCAAGCCUGAUGCAGCCAUGCCGCGUGUAUGAAGAAGGCCUUCGGGUUGUAAAGUACUUUCAGCAGUGAGGAAGGUGGUGUCGUUAAUAGCGGCAUCAUUUGACGUUAGCUGCAGAAGAAGCACCGGCUAACUCCGUGCCAGCAGCCGCGGUAAUACGGAGGGUGCGAGCGUUAAUCGGAAUUACUGGGCGUAAAGCGCAUGCAGGUGGUUUGUUAAGUCAGAUGUGAAAGCCCGGGGCUCAACCUCGGAAUUGCAUUUGAAACUGGCAGACUAGAGUACUGUAGAGGGGGGUAGAAUUUCAGGUGUAGCGGUGAAAUGCGUAGAGAUCUGAAGGAAUACCGGUGGCGAAGGCGGCCCCCUGGACAGAUACUGACACUCAGAUGCGAAAGCGUGGGGAGCAAACAGGAUUAGAUACCCUGGUAGUCCACGCCGUAAACGAUGUCUACUUGGAGGUUGUGGCCUUGAGCCGUGGCUUUCGGAGCUAACGCGUUAAGUAGACCGCCUGGGGAGUACGGUCGCAAGAUUAAAACUCAAAUGAAUUGACGGGGGCCCGCACAAGCGGUGGAGCAUGUGGUUUAAUUCGAUGCAACGCGAAGAACCUUACCUACUCUUGACAUCCUCAGAA
RNAcentral lists this ribosomal RNA (956 nucleotides) under Vibrio sp. RNAcentral describes it as "bacterial SSU rRNA". It matches the Rfam family "Bacterial small subunit ribosomal RNA", at positions 60 to 995 of the family's 1533-position model. Lineage: Bacteria; Pseudomonadati; Pseudomonadota; Gammaproteobacteria; Vibrionales; Vibrionaceae. The record is from RNAcentral.